Molecule: ribosomal RNA, 254 nt
Filed under: uncultured bacterium
Lineage: Bacteria
Description: partial 16S ribosomal RNA
Rfam family: Bacterial small subunit ribosomal RNA
Source: RNAcentral
UACGAAGGGGGCUAGCGUUGCUCGGAAUCACUGGGCGUAAAGCGAACGCAGGCGGACCGUUAAGUCGAAUGUGAAAGCCCGGGGCUCAACCCCGGAAGUGCAUUCGAAACUGGCGGUCUUGAGUACGGGAGAGGUGGGUGGAAUUCCUGGUGUAGAGGUGAAAUUCGUAGAUAUCAAGGAGGAACACCGGUGGCGAAAGCGGCCCACUGGCCCGAUACUGACGCUCAUGUUCGAAAGCGUGGGGAGCAAACAGG